This is a long non-coding RNA of Lolium perenne, 2433 nucleotides long. RefSeq lists it as uncharacterized. The record is from RefSeq and is a predicted model, not a curated record. Lineage: Eukaryota; Viridiplantae; Streptophyta; Magnoliopsida; Poales; Poaceae.
GCCUCUCUGCUAGCAGCUCCAGGCCUUCGGGAGGACUCGCCGCCCUUGCCGCCUCCACUGCGAGCGGAGGGGACAUAGGUGGUGGGUAUGUCCGCCAUGACUAGGGCCGCCACGACAACGCAGGCGGCGGCCGUGAAGAUUGAACCGUGGACACCGCGCUCCAGGGCCUCGUCCGCGUGUUCGACUUCAGCCUUGACAGCUUCUUUCCUAGGUCUCCCGCUGCUGCCAUGGCAACCUCCGUCCGGGGCAGUGGGGAGAGGGGACACGCGGGAUUAGAGAUCCCCUUCCAGUUUCCCCCUCCUGUCGAUUUCAUGGGAAGGAUUUGCCGCAUUUAAUUUGGCGACGAUUUUGAUAUGGGGCUGUUGUCCCUGAUUCGUAUGUUCGAUUGUCUGCAAGUUGCUCCUUUUUCUCAUUGUUGUUGGUCCAGUUCUUCCACGUGUGUUUGCUUUGUUUGUGCGUUCAGUUAGCAGCGAUGGAUGUUCUUCGAGUUCAGGUCAGCUGUGGUCUGCUUCAUGGCGAGGUGCAUUGGUUCAAGCCCGGAGGUGUGGUACAACAACAGAGCCGACAGGGAAGCAUGCAUUUUGCUGGCGGGGGUCUCAUCAUGUUGCUAUCGUCACUAGAGAUGGCAAAAUGCACGCAACUUCGCCGGAUAUUGGUGCAACCGCCACUUGCUUCCCGUUUUCCAUAAACUGUUCUCAGCAUUCCAUGUCUGACAUUCAUGCUAUUCCGAGACAGAAAAAUGCACAAGAAGAUCAACAUUAGAGAGAGCUGAAGCCUGAAGUGUUUUAUUGAUUUGGAUAUUGCUAGGUGCUCCAAACACGAAGAUUUUCCUCUACGAGAGUGCAAAGUUGGACCCGUGACGAACUCAAGGAAAUCUGAGACAUAUAUCUAAUAUCCUUUGUGCAGUUGGUUUUCCAGAUUGAGAUUGUUUCAUGAAGCAACAACCGUGGUAUAAGAAACAAUUGUGGCAUGCCUAUUAUCCUUAAAUUGAAACUUUAUUUUAUAACCUGCUUAACCUAACCAACAACCUCUUAUUGUUUUUAUUCUGUACUAUAGCAUUGCAUUUUUAUAUACGAGGUUGCACACUACUGAACUACGAUAUUGUACAUCACUCUCCAGCACAUCACUCAGUGGAACUAGACAGGCUAUCUUCAGCUUACGAACAAGAAUUUUCUUUCCUUUUGGUUUCUACUAAGGAUUAGUUGAUAGAUUCAUAUCUAUACCUUCUGGUUUGUCUUCUCCCUUGCAUUUUAUGCAUUAUUGUUCUGUAUUCACAUUUUAUCGUCCUUACUUAAUUUUGAGAAAUCACACUAUAACUUAAUUACAAUUCAUGCUUUAGAAUUUCUUCUCUUACUCAACGGAGAAGAGUAGUAAGUAGUGUAUACAUAUAUAUUAAUUGCCAUCUAUAUUUACAAUUCAUUAGAAUGGUAAAUGCAUGUCUUGCACUUCUAAUAUUGCUCCUUAGCCCAGUAGUUCUGUAAUUAUCACCAUUUUAUUAGAAGAUUGAGAAAACAUGAUUUAUGUGACACAAUAACCUGGGGCCAUUGAUUCAUGUUGGAGAAUUCACAGGGAGCGGACUGGUGCUCUUGACGAGAUGAGAAAAUACGAGGAAAAUGAAUGGAGAUGAAAAGGAAAUAAAAAGGGAUAGCUGGGACCAGUUCAAACACCAAUAAUUUUGGUUUAAUUAUUCUUAGGGUACCUAUAGUCUUCAGAUGACUUGUUAUGGUUUAUGAAAAAUGAUCCUCUCGAAGCGCAACAAUGUGCAUGUAUUUUCCCUUGCAACCUAACAUGACAGAGCUAUCUGCGGUGGUCGGCAUGUAUUGUGCUCAGUUGAUUGCCGUCAUGCUCGAUAGUGCAUUCUCUGUUAAAGCUGAUGUAUGAAGAUCAAUUAGAUUAGCGAAACUGAAUCUUGUUUGGAUGCACGGGAAUACUGCAGUUCAGUUUUUUCCUGCAUCAACUAGCCAAAACAGCGUUUCAGGCAUUUGGCAAAAUAUGGUGACGAGGAUCAAUUGGUUCAGUGCUUAUUCAAAAACAGAUUCAAGAGGUUAUGCAAAUUAUUAGGGGUUAGCCUUCUGUUGGACGUGGAGACUGGAGAGAAAGCUAGCUGGUGUUGUCGCUGCAACCAAAUGCGUAUGGAAUAGGUUCUUAUUAGGGUAUUUUACGUAUACGAAGGCGAGUUACUUAAUGCAUCACCAUCGUUGAUAACGGAAUCUGGAACCUUGACAAAGAUUCACAGAAAGUACUUCAAUAUUUAUAAGGUGGCUAAUUUGCACGGGUGAAUGACCCCAUUCGCACUACUAGGAAAGCUUUUAAUGUUUGGAAAAUUAUGAAACAUAUUUUUCCGCUCUGAAGCAUGUGUACUUUUUCCGUGUACUUAUCCCACAAAUGAUCUGUACCAAUGAUAGCCUUGUUCAAUGCAGUUGGGGAAGGCAA